AGACCCGAAACCCGGUGAUCUAGCCAUGGGCAGGUUGAAGGUUGGGUAACACUAACUGGAGGACCGAACCGACUAAUGUUGAAAAAUUAGCGGAUGACCUGUGGCUGGGGGUGAAAGGCCAAUCAAACCGGGAGAUAGCUGGUUCUCCCCGAAAGCUAUUUAGGUAGCGCCUCGUGAAUUCAUCUCCGGGGGUAGAGCACUGUUUCGGCUAGGGGGCCAUCCCGGCUUACCAACCCGAUGCAAACUGCGAAUACCGGAGAAUGUUAUCACGGGAGACACACGGCGGGUGCUAACGUCCGUCGUGAAGAGGGAAACAACCCAGACCGCCAGCUAAGGUCCCAAAGUCAUGGUUAAGUGGGAAACGAUGUGGGAAGGCCCAGACAGCCAGGAUGUUGGCUUAGAAGCAGCCAUCAUUUAAAGAAAGCGUAAUAGCUCACUGGUCGAGUCGGCCUGCGCGGAAGAUGUAACGGGGCUAAACCAUGCACCGAAGCUGCGGCAGCGAACGUAUCACCCAAGACAACUUUACGGAGUUGGCGAUUGACGGAGCGAAGCGACGUCAAAGCGUUCAUUAAAGUCGAGUUGGCUUAGGGAUACGUUCGUUGGGUAGGGGAGCGUUCUGUAAGCCUGUGAAGGUGUGUCGUGAGGCAUGCUGGAGGUAUCAGAAGUGCGAAUGCUGACAUAAGUAACGAUAAAGCGGGUGAAAAGCCCGCUCGCCGGAAGACCAAGGGUUCCUGUCCAACGUUAAUCGGGGCAGGGUGAGUCGACCCCUAAGG
Molecule: ribosomal RNA, 773 nt
Filed under: Salmonella enterica
Lineage: Bacteria; Pseudomonadati; Pseudomonadota; Gammaproteobacteria; Enterobacterales; Enterobacteriaceae
Description: partial 23S ribosomal RNA
Rfam family: Bacterial large subunit ribosomal RNA
Source: RNAcentral